This 359-nucleotide unclassified non-coding RNA is filed under the name uncultured Chloroflexota bacterium. Its description in RNAcentral is "uncultured Chloroflexi bacterium contains 16S-23S intergenic spacer region". The record is from RNAcentral. Lineage: Bacteria; Bacillati; Chloroflexota.
UCCCCGAAGGGCAGUCUCACCAGACACCAGUAACUGGCGACGAGGGUUGCGCUCGUUGCGGGACUGAACCCAACAUCUCACGACACGAGCUGACGACAGCCAUGCAGCACCUGUGGUGGACCCUCGAAGGCAACCGGCUUUCACCGGCCUGCACCACCAUGUCAAGGCUGGGUAAGGUUGUGCGCGUUGCGUCGAAUUAAACCACACGCUCCGCUGCUUGUGCGGGUCCCCGUCAAUUCCUUUGAGUUUUAAGCUUGCGCUCGUACUUCCCAGGCGGAUGACUUGUCGCGUUGGCUGUGACCCCCACCGGCUUUAACACCAGCAAAGGUCGAGUCAUCAUCGUUUACGGCGUGGACUAC